RNAcentral lists this unclassified non-coding RNA (296 nucleotides) under rhizosphere metagenome. Its description in RNAcentral is "partial ribosomal RNA internal transcribed spacer region". The record is from RNAcentral.
GUAGGUGAACCUGCGGAAGGAUCAUUAUUGAAAUAAACCUGAUGAGUUGCUGCUGGCUCUCCAGGGAGCAUGUGCACACUUGUCAUCUUUAUAUCUCCACCUGUGCACCUUUUGUAGACCUGGAUAUCUCUCUGAGUGCUUAGCACUUCAGGUUUGAGGAUUGACUUUAUUGUUCUCUCUUUAUAUUUCCAGGCCUAUGUUUCUUCAUAUACCCCAAUGUAUGUUAUAGAAUGUAGUAAAUGGGCCUUUGUGCCUAUAAACCUAUACAACUUUCAGCAACGGAUCUCUUGGCUCUC